AGAAUCAACGCUGGCGGCGUGCCUCAGACAUGCAAGUCGAACGCGAAAGUCCCCUUCGGGGGAUAAGUAGAGUGGCGCACGGGUGAGUAACACGUAGGUAAUCUACCUUCGGGUGGGGAAUAACAACCGGAAACGGUUGCUAAUACCGCAUAAUGCAGCGGCACCUAAUGGUGACAGUUGUUAAAGCGGGGGAUCGCAAGAUCUCGCGCCUGAAGAGGAGCCUGCGGCGGAUUAGCUAGUUGGUAGGGUAAUGGCCUACCAAGGCGACGAUCCGUAGCCGG
Molecule: ribosomal RNA, 281 nt
Filed under: uncultured soil bacterium
Lineage: Bacteria
Description: partial 16S ribosomal RNA
Rfam family: Bacterial small subunit ribosomal RNA
Source: RNAcentral